This 466-nucleotide ribosomal RNA is filed under the name uncultured bacterium. RNAcentral's name for it is "partial 16S ribosomal RNA". It matches the Rfam family "Bacterial small subunit ribosomal RNA", at positions 28 to 507 of the family's 1533-position model. The record is from RNAcentral.
GACGAACGCUGGCGGCGUGCUUAACACAUGCAAGUCGAACGGAAAGGCCCUGCUUUCAGGGUACUCGCGUGGGGAACGGGUGAGUAACACGUGGGUGUACUGCCCUGCACUUCGGGAGAAGCUUGGAGAACUGGGUCUAUUACAGGAGAUGAACGAUCCUUCGGGUGGGGGGUGGAAGGUUAUUUCGGGGUAGGGGGAGCUCGCGGGCUAUCAGCUUGUUGGUGGGGGAAUGUCGUACCAAGGCGGCGACGGGUAGACGGCCCGUGAGGGUGUACGGCCACAUAUGGAGUGUGAGAUGGGCCAGACACUCACGGGGGGCAGAAGUGGGGAAUAUUGCGCAAUGGGCGCAAGACUGAGGUGGAGAAGCCGCGUGGGCGAUGAAGGCGCUUGGGUUGUAAAAUCCUCUUUCGAGGGAGGAAGAUUGGUAGUGACGGUAACGGGAUAAGAAGCACCGGCUAACUACGUG